RNAcentral lists this long non-coding RNA (3131 nucleotides) under Homo sapiens (human). RNAcentral's name for it is "non-protein coding lnc-DNAJB7-2:3". The record is from RNAcentral. Lineage: Eukaryota; Metazoa; Chordata; Mammalia; Primates; Hominidae.
CUGCAGCCCUGGGGCCCGGGAGGACUGCGGCCGCGGAACGUCGUAGAGGAUCAGGGAAGGUUCAGGGUCGACCUCCAGACUCAGUCCUUGGGUUGGGUGGCAGGGUGGGGGCACUAGGGUGGGGAGAUCUCGAGUUUAGGCCAUAAAAAAGAUCAGAAAGAGAAGAGCCCGAGAGAGAGGUGGCCCACCUUGGCCCCGGAGCUUGGGAGGGCGGGUCCCGGCUGGGGUUCGUGGGAUCUGGACCCACUCGCCCCCCGGGACGCGAGCGCGGCGGGGACCGGGCGCGCGAGGCUGCGCCGAGAGAGGGCGCCGGCCCAGGUGCGGCCUCUGGGUGUGGCCGAAGCCAGCCCAGGCGGCCCGGAUUGUCGUCCUCUGCGGAAGCGGCCCGGGCGCGGGAGCCGCGGGCGUAGCCAGCUCCGGAGCCCCGCGCCUCCGCCGCCCCGCGCGCCCUUCCUUUGUGUCUCCCAAGCAGGGGUGAACGCAGACCACUUGGAUUUGAUUUUUCCGUGCGAGUUCCCUUUUUUCCAAGUUCGGGGCCCCUCCUUCCCCCAGCGGCGCGCGCCCCCGGGGUGUCCGCCCCCUCCCCCUCCGGCCCAGCCCUGGGCGGGGCAGACGCCCUUGGAGUCGGGAGAAAAGACUAUCUGAUUUCAAAACCGACGCGACCCGAGCUGGGCUGCGGAAAUGGCGCCCAUGUCCCGGCUCCGGCCAGGUCGUGAUCAGGAGACAGACUGAGGAGCCUCUCCCCACCGCAAUCCCUUUAUACUGGGUAGGGGUUCGAAGGCACAGGGACAGAGUAUACAGGACACUGCUUGAGGCAGCGCGUCCACCCACCAUCUGUGCGACCUCAUCAAGUCACCUCUCUGAGCCUCAGUUUCCCGGUAUAAUGGAAACGGCAAUUUUAAAUGACACGUAAGUGCCUGGCACUCAUUGAGCUCAUCAAAUGAAGAGCCCCGUCUCUGGGCCCCCUUGCCCCUGAGGGAAAUGCACACACAAACCUAGAAAAUGUGCUGUAAUGCACAAUGUGGGACAGACCCAGUCACUCUCCUUUCAUUCUUCUUCCAUCGAAUAUUCUGAGGCUUCGGCGCCAGCCCUUUGCCGGCGGAUGCUGCCGAGAUGAAGACAGCAUGCUCGGCCUGGUGAAGCCAAUAAAAGAGCAGGCUCCCCUCCUGGGGCCAGGUGUCACCACAGAAGCAGGCCCUGGAAGAUGCCAGGAGCCAGCCAGCCCAGGGCCCUGUCCUACCCCCGGCCCUUCCGCGGGCGAGAGCCCAGGAUCUCCAGGUCCUGCCCUGCACUUGGAGAUUUGCUCCCUAACAGGUUUUUGGUUUUGUUUUUUUGAAUAGAGGCGGGGUUUUGCCGUGUUGCCCAGGCUGGUCUCAAACUCCUGGGCUCAAGCAAUCCUCCUGCCUCAGCCUCCCCAAAUUCUGGAAUUACAGGCGUGAGCCACAUGCCCAGUCUGUUGUUUUUCCUUUCUUUUCUUUUCUUUCUUUCUUUCUUUUUUUAGAGACGGUCUCUCUUGCCUCACUUUUUUUUUUUUUUUUUUUGAGACAGUGUCUUACUCAGUUCACCCAGGCUGGAGUGCAGUGGCGUGGUUUUGGCUCACUGCAACCUCUGCCGCCCAGGUUCGAGCAAUUCUCCUACCUCAGCCUCCCGAGUAGCUGGGAUUACAGGCACCUGCCACAGCGCCCUGCUAAUUUUUGUAUUUUUAGUAGAGACGGGGUUUCACCAUAUUGGUCAGGCUGGUCUUGAACUCCUGACCUCGUGAUCCACCUGCUUUGGCCUCCCAAAGUGCUGGGAUUACAGGUGUGAGCCACCACACCUGGCUCGCCUCACAUGUUUUUAAAAGAUCCAGUGUCCUGAUGGCUCUUGGUGCUCUUCCCAGAUGAUGGUAAAAUGCUCAGUGUGGACCAAGAGAAGCCUGACCCUGACAAACAUCCUUUUUUCUUUACACAUCUGAAUUUUGAUGAGCUCUGAAGGGAACUCGAUUUCUCCGCAGCCGUCCUGAGUUCUGUGGUGCUUAGUGUCUGAUGCCUUCAUCUUCCUUUAGUUUCAACACUGUGUAUAACUUAGUCCUCUCCAGGACCUGUCCCCCAGCUCUGGGGAGGGACCAAAGCUGUACAGUAGGUGAAUAGUGAGUAACUGGAUGAAGUGUUCUUUUGUCUCUCUGAAUGCUCCCCAGAGCCAUAAGGAAUUAAUAAUCUUGGCUACUGGGCUGGGAGCAGUGGCUCACACCUGUAAUCCCAGCACCUUGGCAAGCCAAGAUGGGAGGAUUGCUUGAGGCCAGGAGUUCGAGACCAGCCUGGGCAACAGUGAGGCCCUGUCUCUACAACAAACAAGCAAACAAACAAACAAGAACAACAAAAAAACUCAGCUACCACUUCAUGAGUAUCUAUGCUGCGCCAGGGACUACUUCAGGUUCUCCACCUGGUACAAGAAGAGUGGCCCAGAGAAAGGUCAGUUUAAGGCAACUGGAUUUCCCAAGUCCCAAAGCAGGAAAUCUGGUCUGACAAGCACGGGAUUCUCGUCUGAAAUUAGCCCAGCCCUGGAAAACCUGUGGCUGGGGGUUGCUGUCAUCAGAAAGAACCUGUACUUCCGGGUUUGUUUUGGUUGGGAAGGAAGGAGCUGGAGCAGCCAACCUGGCUUCUCAGAGCUUCCAUAUUUAACCCAUCAGGGCCCAAGGCUCCCAGGUGUAGAAGCGACUUUAGAGAUACCUAUGAGGAAACAGAAGCUCCAAGAAGGUAAAGACCUUCUCCCAGGCCACAGAGCCAGUAAAUGGCUGAGCCAGGGUUAGGAGGAAGGAAACUAACAUUUCUAUAGCACGUGCCCUAAAUCCAGAGCCUCACCCUGCAAAGGAGGUGUUAGUAACCCCAUUCUGCUCAUGAGAUUCAGAGAAGCUUAGUGAGUGGCCGAUAUCACCAAGCUACUAAAAGGCAGAGAUACUAUUAAAAUAUAGGCCUACAGCUGGGCGUGGUGGCUCACACCUGUAAUUCCAGCACUUUGGGAGGCUGAGGCGGGUGGAUCACGAGGUCAGGCAUUCGAGACCAGCCUGGCCAACAUGGUGAAAAUCUGUCACUACUAAAUAUACAAAAAUCAGCCUGGCGUGGUGGCGUGUGCCUGUAAUCCCAGCUACUCAG